This 71-nucleotide transfer RNA is filed under the name Sillago japonica (Japanese sillago). Its description in RNAcentral is "tRNA-Cys". It matches the Rfam family "tRNA". From Rfam's summary of the family: Transfer RNA (tRNA) molecules are approximately 80 nucleotides in length. The record is from RNAcentral. Lineage: Eukaryota; Metazoa; Chordata; Actinopteri; Sillaginidae.
AGCCCUGAGGUGUUUGCACGUCAGAUUGCAAAUCUGAAGGUGCGGGUUAGUCUCCCGCUGGGGCUUUCCCC